Small nucleolar RNA from Amaranthus tricolor (Joseph's coat), 132 nucleotides. RefSeq annotates it as small nucleolar RNA snoR74. Lineage: Eukaryota; Viridiplantae; Streptophyta; Magnoliopsida; Caryophyllales; Amaranthaceae. The transcript has a single exon. The record is from RefSeq and is a predicted model, not a curated record.
AAAAAAGCAGGGACCUAUUGCCUUUUGUGGAUAGGUCUCUCGUAAACUUCAGGGAAAUAAACUUCAUUGUUCUUGGGUGAACCUCUGGAGUUUUUUCUAUGAUGGGGAGGUUCAAUAAACAAUGUUACAUUU